CCGCUCGUGGUCCAACGGAGAAGACGCCGGUCUACGAAACCGACAAUGCAGGUUCGAUUCCUGCCGAGCGGA
Molecule: transfer RNA, 72 nt
Filed under: Kutzneria buriramensis
Lineage: Bacteria; Bacillati; Actinomycetota; Actinomycetes; Pseudonocardiales; Pseudonocardiaceae
Description: tRNA-Arg
Rfam family: tRNA
About the family: Transfer RNA (tRNA) molecules are approximately 80 nucleotides in length. Their secondary structure includes four short double-helical elements and three loops (D, anti-codon, and T loops).
Source: RNAcentral